RNAcentral lists this long non-coding RNA (718 nucleotides) under Sorghum bicolor (sorghum). RNAcentral describes it as "long non-coding RNA (SBIC_LNC015451)". Lineage: Eukaryota; Viridiplantae; Streptophyta; Magnoliopsida; Poales; Poaceae. The record is from RNAcentral.
AGGGGUCGAGACGGCGAAGAGGUCAUGAGUCUCUUGCACGUCAUGCGGCUAAGGCAGAAAGAGGGGCCGUGGCCAACCCUAGCCUUGGCGUUAGACCUGUUCUACUUGGCUCCGCUGGGCCUUGGCUGCUCGGGCCUUCGCUAGCUGAUGUGUCGUGGGCUGCUUGGCCUGCUAAUUAAUCGAUGUCUUGAGACACCCCUGGGUUAUAACCCCGAUAGGUUCCAUACAAUUAAACCCCCCCUAUUCCAAACCAAGCCAUAGUAGGGUCCUAAAAAAAAGUUUUUCUAACCAAACACACACACUAGGUGAGACCUGACCAAUGCUCUAACCACCUACCUACCCUUAGCUAGAGCUCGACCUAAGGCAUGAAGCUUCCGUGCACCCACAAGACACCACAAGUGGUGUUCAUCACCAAAGGCACGCAACGGUCAUUCAUAUUGGGACCGGCAAACUCAAAGACACAGGCAUUCUUGUGUUUCCUUUGUGUUCAAAUUUACAUGAGGGGACUAGUGUUCGGCCCCAAUUAUCCAUUCUUUCCUACACAAGCUAUCAAAGGAGCAAUACAUCAUGUUCCUGUGAAGAUUGUACAUAAGGCUCUUCGGCAGAUUACCUAUGCCCAGAGAGCUAAUAUUGACAUAGAAGCAGAUCCAAGCACCAGGCUAACAUGUCUUCUUCAAUUUUAGCUAUGCUGACAUCAUCUUGUUAUGAAUUACUUUGC